Molecule: ribosomal RNA, 764 nt
Filed under: uncultured organism
Description: bacterial SSU rRNA
Rfam family: Bacterial small subunit ribosomal RNA
Source: RNAcentral
GCGAUGUGCCUAAGGUAUGCAAGUCGAACGAUUCCUGUAUCUUCGGAUACAGGGAGUGGCAAACGGCUGAGUAACGCGUAGGAACCUACCCCAAACUCGAGUAUAGCCCCGCGAAAGCGGGGGUAAUCCUCGAUAGCCCGUGAAGUAUUUACUUCACGGUAAAGCUUUUGCGGUUUGGGAUGGGCCUGCGUCCUAUCAGGUAGUUGGUGAGGUAAAUGCUCACCAAGCCUAUGACGGGUAGCUGGUCUGAGAGGAUGGUCAGCCAGACUGGGACUGCGAUACGGCCCAGACUCCUACGGGAGGCAGCAACUAGGAAUUGUGCGCAAUGGACGAAAGUCUGACGCCGCGACAUCGCGUGGAGGAUGAAGGUCUUCGGAUUGUAAACUCCUUUUCUUACCGAACAAGUUCUGAGUGUAGGUAAGGAAUAAGUGCCUGCUAACCACGUGCCAGAAGCAUCGGUAAUACGUGGGGCACGAGCGUUAUCCGGAUUUACUGGGCGUAAAGAGAAGCGUAGGCGGCUCAAUAAGUUUGGUGUUAAAUCUUCCGGCUCAACCGGAAACAAGCACCGAAAACUAUCGAGAUUGAGUCGAGUAGGGAAGAGGGGAAUUCCUGGUGGAGCGGUUAAAUGCGUAGAUAUCAGGAGGAAUACCAAGGGCGAAGGCACCUCUUUGGACUCGUACUGACGCUGAGGCUCGAAAGCGUGGGUAGCAAAACGGAUUAGAUACCCGUGUAGUCCACGCCGUAAACGAUCCCUGUUAGAUGUA